GUGCACCAGGCGCGAAUCCUCCGCAAUGCGCGCAAGCGCGACGGGGCCAUCCCGAGUGCCGCUCGCUGAGGGCGGCUUUUCUCCGGUGUAAGUAGCCGGAGGAAUAAGGAGAGGGCAAGUCUGGUGUCAGCCGCCGCGGUAAUACCAGCUCUCCGAGUGGUGGGGACGAUUAUUGGGCCUAAAGCGUCCGUAGCCGGCUUGACAAGUCUCCCGUUAAAUCCAGCGGCCUAACCGCUGGGCUGCGGGAGAUACUGUCAAGCUUGGGGGCGGGAGAGGCCAGCGGUAUUCCCGGGGUAGGGGUGAAAUCCGUUAAUCCCGGGAGGACCACCAGUGGCGAAGGCGGCCGGCCAGAACGCGCCCGACGGUGAGGGACGAAAGCUGGGGGAGCGAACCGGAUUAGAUACCCGUGUAGU
RNAcentral lists this ribosomal RNA (413 nucleotides) under uncultured microorganism. RNAcentral describes it as "bacterial SSU rRNA". It matches the Rfam family "Archaeal small subunit ribosomal RNA", at positions 330 to 745 of the family's 1478-position model. The record is from RNAcentral.